AGAUGUAUUUUUUGCAACUGAGCUAUUAAGAAAAGCUGAAGCUUCCGCAUCUGUUCAAGUAGAUCAAGAAUUUAUUGAAGAGACUUCAGAGAGUUUUAUUGAAGAACGGCUUGAUAGUGAUAAUCUCAACUCUGAAACUCCACAAUUUGAAGGAGAAACUUCAGUAUACAGGUGGAACUCACCCUGCGUAUUAUUAUUAUUGGAAUUAUAUAGGUCUAUGGAAGGAACUCUGAACAGUGGAAAAAUUUCUCAAAAACAAGUAUGGAAUAAAAUAUCCCAAGAUAUGAAAAAAAAAGGAUACGAUGUGACCGGACCGCAAUGUCAUUCUAAAAUACGAAGCCUAAAAAAAACAUAUAAAUCUACAAAGGAUCAUAACAAUAAGUCAGGAAAUAAUAGAAAGACAUGGCAGUUUUACGAUAUUAUGGAUGAAAUUUUUGGCAAAAAAGCAUGGUGCAAUCCAGUUGCAGUUGCAUCUUCUACUGGUCUGUCAUUGAAAGAAGCAGAAAAUAAUGAUAGUACAGCGGGAUCUGAUAGCGGAUGUUCACUAAAAAGAAGAAAGGCGUCGAUAGCAUCUUUACUGGAAAAAAGAUUGCAUCAAAAAGAGGAACAUGAAGAAAAUAAAAAAAAAAGACACUUAGAGCGAAUGAAAAUGGACGAGAAAUUUCUUGAAGUUUUAGAAAAAUUAGCCAACAAAUAAGAAUUUAAAUGUUAAAUUAAAAAAAAUUUGUUUGUAAUAAUUUGUAAAUCUUAAAAAUUUUAUUUAUAGUUCAUACAAUUUACAUCAAAUUAUUAUUUUCACUCAAAUAUUCAAAAAUCCAAUGAUCAUACAACUUUGAUAAUUUUCGGUCCUAUAAAACUAUUGUGAUUACUCCUAACAGGAUUUAUGAUGAGUUUUCUACCAGUUUUACAAGGCAUUCAUAAUAGCAUCUCUUUUAAUAACUCCUGCAGUUCUCCUGACUUCACGUGAAUAGUUUCCAUUAUUUUCUACGUUUUCUUGAUUAUGUUCAGGGAUAGUGAUUACAUUUAACUCAUCUCCUUGUAAAAUGCAGAUAUUGUGGACGACACAGCAUGCAAUGAUGUACUCUGCCAUUAAAUCGACUCUUGUCAUUGGUAGACAAUGUAAUAAACUCCUCAUGCGUCCUUUUAAUAUUCCAAUACAUCGUUCAACAGUCACUCGUGCAGCUGAAUGACGAUAAUUAUAGUUUCUUUGUUUUCCAGUUAAAUGUCCAUUAUCUCGAUACGGAGUAAGUAAGUGUUGAUGUAUUUCAUACUAGCAUA
Molecule: long non-coding RNA, 1278 nt
Organism: Pieris napi
Lineage: Eukaryota; Metazoa; Arthropoda; Insecta; Lepidoptera; Pieridae
Exons: 4
Source: RefSeq, a predicted model, not a curated record